RNAcentral lists this ribosomal RNA (497 nucleotides) under uncultured bacterium. RNAcentral describes it as "partial 16S ribosomal RNA". It matches the Rfam family "Bacterial small subunit ribosomal RNA", at positions 28 to 507 of the family's 1533-position model. The record is from RNAcentral.
GAUGAACGCUGGCGGCGUGCCUAAUACAUGCAAGUCGAGCGAACGGACGAGAAGCUUGCUUCUCUGAUGUUAGCGGCGGACGGGUGAGUAACACGUGGAUAACCUACCUAUAAGACUGGGAUAACUUCGGGAAACCGGAGCUAAUACCGGAUAAUAUUUUGAACCGCAUGGUUCAAUAGUGAAAGACGGUCUUGCUGUCACUUAUAGAUGGAUCCGCGCUGCAUUAGCUAGUUGGUAAGGUAACGGCUUACCAAGGCAACGAUGCAUAGCCGACCUGAGAGGGUGAUCGGCCACACUGGAACUGAGACACGGUCCAGACUCCUACGGGAGGCAGCAGUAGGGAAUCUUCCGCAAUGGGCGAAGGCCUGACGGAGCAACGCCGCGUGAGUGAUGAAGGUCUUCGGAUCGUAAAACUCUGUUAUUAGGGAAGAACAUAUGUGUAAGUAACUGUGCACAUCUUGACGGUACCUAAUCAGAAAGCCACGGCUAACUACGUG